ACUCCUACGGGAGGCAGCAGUGGGGAAUAUUGCACAAUGGGGGAAACCCUGAUGCAGCGACGCCGCGUGAAGGAUGAAGGCCCUCGGGUCGUAAACUUCUUUGAUUGGGGAAGAAUAAAAUGACGGUACCCAAAAAACAAGCCACGGCUAACUACGUGCCAGCAGCCGCGGUAAUACGUAGGUGGCGAGCGUUGUCCGGAAUUACUGGGUGUAAAGGGCGUGUAGGCGGGAAUACAAGUCAGAUGUGAAAUACUGCGGCUCAACCGCAGUCCUGCAUCUGAAACUGUAUUUCUUGAGUAUUGGAGAGGAAAGUGGAAUUCCACGUGUAGCGGUGAAAUGCGUAGAGAUGUGGAGGAACACCAGUGGCGAAGGCGACUUUCUGGACAAUAACUGACGCUGAGGCGCGAAAGCGUGGGGAGCAAACAGGAUUAGAAACCCUGGUAGUCC
Molecule: ribosomal RNA, 447 nt
Filed under: uncultured bacterium
Lineage: Bacteria
Description: bacterial SSU rRNA
Rfam family: Bacterial small subunit ribosomal RNA
Source: RNAcentral